This 239-nucleotide ribosomal RNA is filed under the name uncultured bacterium. RNAcentral describes it as "partial 16S ribosomal RNA". It matches the Rfam family "Bacterial small subunit ribosomal RNA", at positions 95 to 334 of the family's 1533-position model. The record is from RNAcentral.
CCGGCGCACGGGUGAGUAACACGUAUCCAACCUGCCGUCUACUCUUGGACAGCCUUCUGAAAGGAAGAUUAAUACAAGAUGGCAUCAUGAGUCCGCAUGUUCACAUGAUUAAAGGUAUUCCGGUAGACGAUGGGGAUGCGUUCCCUUAGAUAGUAGGCGGGGUAACGGCCCACCUAGUCUUCGAUGGAUAGGGGUUCUGAGAGGAAGGUCCCCCACAUUGGAACUGAGACACGGUCCAA